AAGUUAUGGCGAACAAGGAAGAGAAAGAAAAUAUUAGGGUAUCGAAAGAUAUUCAUGUAACUGUCCAAACCUGUUUUGAAUGACAACUAAGCAAAGGCUGGUAUAAUGGAAUCCGCAAAGUUAUUCUGCAGGAGGCACCAGGAGCCAGAGUUGAAGCUUUCUCAGGAUGACAAAGUUUGUUUGAGGUCUCUGUCAAUGGCAAGCUUAUUUUCUCCAAGGCAAAACUUGGAAGUUAUCCAAGGAAAAAUGAUAUAAGAAAAGCCAUAGAACAAGUAAACAACGGAGAAGAACCAGACGAGAUAAGCACCACUGCUAGCAGUAUACACUGUACUGUACUAUAAAGGACUGUUAAUCCUCUGUGUCUGCUGGCACUGAAACAAAGCCUUGUUUGUUAAUCAUAAAAUAUUUCUGUUGAUUUACUGGAGUAAAAUAUUAGUAUCUUAACUAGACUGGUGAUGUUGAUUUUUACAAGGGUGUUUUGAACUCUUGUGAAAGCAGUAAGAAUUCUGAAUAUUUUUGAGAUUCUAGUUUUCUGUAAAAGGUUUUAUUUCUUUCAUAAGUUUAAACAAGCAAUAGAACCAUUGUUAUAAACACCUAUGUCUUCCAUGAAUUAGAGUUUUUCAUCAAUUUAAGAACCCAUAUUUUUCCUAAAACGUAUUACAUUCAAAAUAAAGCCAUCUCUACACUACCAACCAAUGUACAGUUGUUGAAACUGGUUAGGAGACAUAUUGUGUAUCUACAAUCUAGUUAUAUACAAGUCCAAUUUCAAGUCAUUGAUUUAGAUUUUCAAGGCUUUUUAUCAUAAUAAUGUAAGAUCAUUUCAAGGGCACCUGUGUUUUAAAAUUUGUUUUCAGUCUUGAUUAUUAUGAAAAAUUCAAUUAAAACUCAAUUUAAAGUUGGUCAAACAAAAUCUAGAAUCAAAAACUGAAUUCCUUGCAUGAAUUUUAUUAUCAGUUUACUCGUUCAAGAAAACUUGCAAUAAGUAAUAAUUCCAUAUAGUUCAUACUCUUAUUUAUAUUAUACCUAAAUACCAUGAUUCGAAAACUGAAAUAUGAAGGAGGGCUUAUUUAUAGCCCUAAAUACCAUGAUUCGAAAACUGAAAUAUGAAGGAGGGCUUAUUUGUAAAAUGCUUUUAGCUUACUAUUUUAAGAUUAAUGAUUCUGCAAAAAUGAAGAAGGGGGCAGAUAGAUGUGGAUGAAUAUGGUCUUAUAGGAUGUGGGAGGCAUCAGUUUCUAGCAACUUGUUUUGGUUUACAUGUUUUUUAAUCAAAAAAGCAUUCUGUGAUGUACAUUUUUUAUAUCAUUAAAACAUUUUGGUAUGAAUCUUUCUAACAGAGUUUGCUCUGUCUCAUGGCAUACUAAAUCUAUGCAAAUAUUUUCAAAGACAUAUUUGUAUAAAUUAUUAUUUUUAUUUAUGACAAAAUUUCUAUAUUUCCAUUCCAUUGUAUAUUUAUAAACAUGACUGAAUAAUCAUACACAGAGAAAUGAUGACUGCCACUAAAACAGUAAGGAAGUGUUGGUCUGAUGUAAUGGCUGAGUAUGUGUAUUCAGUCGGGUUGGUUAAUGAAAUCCCUCACAUUUCAAAGGAAAGUCUCUGAUUUCUGUCUAGGAUGGAUAUUUUCUGUCUACUGUCUAGGGUAGAUAUUGUCCCGUCUACUGUCUAGGGUAGAUAUUAUCCUGUCUACUGUCUAGGGUAGAUAUUUUCCUGUCUGCUGUCUAGGGUAGAUAUUUUCCUGUCUACUGUCUAAGGUAGAUAUUUUCCUGUGUACUGUCUAGGGUAGAUAUUGUCCCGUCUACUGUCUAGGGUAGAUAUUGUCCCGUCUCCUGUCUAGGGUAGAUGUUGUCCUGUCUCCUGUCUAGGGUAGAUACUUUCCUGUCUCCUGUCUAGGGUAGAUACUGUCCCUUCUACUGUCUAGGGUAGAUAUUGUCCCGUCUACUGUCUAGGGUAGAUGUUGUCCUGUCUACUGUCUAGGGUAGAUAUUGUCCUGUCUACUGUCUAGGCUAGAUAUUUUCCUGUCUACUGUCUAAGGUAGAUAUUGUCCCGUCUACUGUCUAGGGUAGAUGUUGUCCUGUCUACUGUCUAGGGUAGAUAUUGUUCUGUCUACUGUCUAGGGUAGAAAUUGUCCCGUCUUCUGUCUAGGGUAGAUAUUGCCCCGUCUACUGUCUAGGGUAGAUAUUGUCCUGUCUACUGUCUAGGGUAGAUAUUGUCCUGUCUACUGUCUAGGGUAGAUACUUUCCCGUCUACUGUCUAGGGUAGAUAUUGUCUUGUCUUCUGUCUAGGGUAGAUAUAGUCUUGUCUACUGUCUAGGGUAGAUAUUGUCCUGUCUACUGUCUAGGGUAGAUAUUUUCACGUCUACUGUCUAGGGUAGAUAUUGUCCCGUCUACUGUCUAGGAUAGAUAUUGUCCCGUCUACUGUCUAGGGUAGAUAUUGUCCUGUCUACUGUCUAGGGUAGAAAUUGUCCCGUCUACUGUCUAGGGUAGAUAUUGCCCCGUCUACUGUCUAGGGUAGAUAUUGUCCUGUCUACUGUCUAGGGUAGAUAUUGUCCUGUCUACUGUCUAGGGUAGAUACUUUCCCGUCUACUGUCUAGGGUAGAUAUAGUCUUGUCUACUGUCUAGGGUAGAUAUUGUCCUGUCUACUGUCUAGGGUAGAUAUUUUCACGUCUACUGUCUAGGGUAGAUAUUGUCCCGUCUACUGUCUAGGAUAGAUAUUGUCCCGUCUACUGUCUAGGGUAGAUAUUGUCCCGUCUACUGUCUAGGGUAGAUAUAGUCUUGUCUACUGUCUAGGGUAGAUAGUGUCCUGUCUACUGUCUAGGGUAGAUAUUGUCCCGUCUACUGUUUAGGGUAGAUAUUGUCUUGUCUACUGUCUAGGGUAGAUAUAGUUUUGUCUACUGUCUAGGGUAGAUAUUAUCCUGUCUACUGUCUAGGGUAGAUAUUGUCCUGUCUACUGUCUAGGGUAGAUAUUGUCCCUGUCUCCUGUCUAGGGUAGAUAUUGUCCUGUUUACUGUCUAGGCUAGAUAUUUUCCUGUCUACUGUCUAGGGUAGAUAUUGUCCUGUCUACUGUCUAGGGUAGAUAUUGUCCUGUCUAGGGUAGAUAUUGUCCUGUCUACUAUAGAUAUUUUCCUGUCUAGGGUAUCAUGUAAGCACAUUAGAAAUUGAACUUCAAAUGAAGCUCUAGUGUAAAUCAUACUGUAAUGAGUUUGAUAAGUGUGAUGUCUUUCUCUUUUUGUAUCAUUUUGUAUUUCAAUCAAAAAUUUUAACAUGUUAUGUCUUUGUGUUGUCCAACCUCUCUAUGGUAAUUUUUGCUUUGUCGGGAGAUCUCCUUCUACAAUUUACAAUCAAUACCCUGUUGAACUGUUGGCUUUAUCACCCUAACAGGUGCAUUUUUUCUGAAUGGCAGUUGGAGUUGACUGUAUUUGGAAGAGUUGCUUCCCCUUGUAUUGAGAUCUCUGUAAUCAAUUUUCAACAACUUUCUGUUACACAAUGAUGGCUUUAUAACCAAUACAUCAAAAAGUGUUUUCCUGGUGGAUUUUUUUAAAACUUGUUCAUACAUUUCUUUUCUCAGUUUUCAACCCACUCUUUAAAUCUUUAAAGCAUUAUAAAUGCUACCCACACUCCUAUCCCCAAUUUGUACUGAAUUAAGCCCAGUGGACAAACACCUUAUCUCUAACUUAAAGUUAGAGAAGGUUUUAUUACAGGACAAUAAGUCCACUGGGCAAACACAUUGCCACUGAUUCAAAGUUAGGGGCCAGCUUAUUACAGGACAAUAAGUCCAAUAAGUCCAAAUGACUGACAGAUUACCUCUGAUUCAGGGGCAGGCUUAUUACUUAAGAAAUACAGCAGAAUUGUCAUGAUAUUAAUCUCAUGGUAGUAUACAGCUUAAAGACAGUGUAUCAAUGGUAAUGUUACUUACAUGAAAUAAGUUAUACAUGUAAUUUAGAGACUUGACAAAGUCAUAUAAAGAAAGUGUUAAUAAGUUAUACAUGUAAUUUAGAGACUUGACAAAGUCAUAUAAAGAAAGUGUUAAUAAGUUAUACAUGUAAUUUAGUGACUUGACAAAGUCAUAUAAAGAAAGUGUUAAUAAGUUAUACAUGUAAUUUAGAGACUUGCCAAAGUCAUAUAAAGAAAGUGUUAAUAAAUUAUACAUGUAAUUUAGAGACUUGACAAAGUCAUAUAAAGAAAGUGUUAAUAAGUUAUACAUGUAAUUUAGAGACUUGACAAAGUCAUAUAAAGAAAGUGUUAAUAAGUUAUACAUGUAAUUUAGAGACUUGACAAAGUCAUAUAAAGAAAGUGUUAAUAAGUUAUACAUGUAAUUUAGAGACUUGACAAAGUCAUAUAAAGAAAGUGUUAAUAAAUUAUACAUGUAAUUUAGAGACUUGACAAAGUCAUAUAAAGAAAGUGUUAAUAAGUUAUACAUGUAGAUCUCUGGGCCUGGAUAUAUCUGAUGAUUCAGGCAUUGCUAUUUCUGAAAAAAAAAUAUGUUAUAACUUUUUAUUCUGUCUUGUACUCCGACCAUAUUCUGCUAUGAACUUUUCAGUAUUGUUUAAGUCACUUUUAUAUAAGACAGUUUUUUGUCUUAUUUUGUUGCUGUCUGUUUUCUGUUCAUAUUAAAUGUGUUAUUGCUAUUGCUCCUGUCAAUAUAGAAUUCUGUGAUAUAUCACAUAUUGAUAAAAGCCUACAGAAACUGCAGCAAAUUCAGCAUGAAAGACACAAAAAUCACAUUUACGUUUAUAGUAAUUAAUCCUUGUGAAGUAUUUUACAUAAAAAAUGUCAUGAUAUUGUUAUUGAUGUAUAAGAUAUGUCCCUUACAAUAAAUAAUUAUCUCAAA
This is a long non-coding RNA of Ylistrum balloti, 4824 nucleotides long. RefSeq lists it as uncharacterized. Lineage: Eukaryota; Metazoa; Mollusca; Bivalvia; Pectinida; Pectinidae. The transcript has 4 exons. The record is from RefSeq and is a predicted model, not a curated record.